CCUACGGGAGACAGCAGUGGGGAAUAUUGCACAAUGGGGGAAACCCUGAUGCAGCGACGCCGCGUGAGUGAAGAAGUAUUUCGGUAUGUAAAGCUCUAUCAGCAGGGAAGAAAAUGACGGUACCUGAAUAAGAAGCCCCGGCUAACUACGUGCCAGCAGCCGCGGUAAUACGUAGGGGGCAAGCGUUAUCCGGAUUUACUGGGUGUAAAGGGAGCGUAGACGGCGCGGCAAGUCGGAAGUGAAAGGCCGGGGCUUAACCCCUGAACUGCUUUGGAAACUGCCAUGCUAGAGUGCUGGAGAGGUAAGUGGCAUUCCUCGUGUAGCGGUGAAAUGCGUAGAUAUUAGGAGGAACCCCAGUGGCGAAGGCGGCUUACUGGACCGUAACUGACGUUGAGGCUCGAAAGCGUGGGGAGCAAACAGGAUUAGAUACCCGGGUAGUC
Molecule: ribosomal RNA, 440 nt
Filed under: uncultured bacterium
Lineage: Bacteria
Description: partial 16S ribosomal RNA
Rfam family: Bacterial small subunit ribosomal RNA
Source: RNAcentral